Podarcis muralis (Common wall lizard) is the source of this 2277-nucleotide non-coding RNA. The record is from RefSeq and is a predicted model, not a curated record. NCBI's taxonomy places the organism in Eukaryota, Metazoa, Chordata, Lepidosauria, Squamata, Lacertidae.
CGUUCGUCUUGCGGGGUACCACUGUAGCUCUAUAAUCCCUAUUGUAGUAAGAUAAGACCUUUGGAGCAGGCAUUAAUUUUUUGUUAUGAACUGCCUUAACUUUUAUAAUACACUGCUACAGGAUGCAAAGUACAAGAAUCAGAAGUCCAGUGGUACCCUUGUAGCUCAUCUUGAAGCCUUCAUACAAUUCUUGUAGGUUGUCCAUUAUUAGCCGCUUCCUAUGGUACUCUUUUCCAAUUCUGACCACAUCUUUCAUUCCUGGCUUUAUUCUAGACUUCUCACCACUGUGAUAAAAGUUUAGAACCUUGCUUACAGUUUCAGAUGGAAGCUUUUUUCCACCUCUGGGAUCUGGUUUAGCUAAAAUUCCUUUUUCUUUAAAAAGCUCCUGUGCCUGGCAAACUGAAUCACUGGGGAAUAUUUUUUUUUCUUCAUUUUCUGUUGCAUAAGAGUUUUCAAGGGUUCUUGUAUGUUCUUUCAAUGCUGAUUUCAAAUCUGAAAUUGAUUUUUGUGUACAUGCUAUAGUUAUCUUUCAAUUUCUGACUUUUGCUGAUAGGUCAUAUUUACACUGGGGAGAAGUGGACAAUGACACAUUGAUCUACCUUAACCAACUUAAUUUUUCUUUAUUUUUAUAGUUUUUUAACCUAAAUAUUUGUAUUUUUCAGAUCAGACCAUGGCUUCUUCAAAAUGUGUAAACAAGCCUGAUGCCUUUUGUUAUGCAUGUGGCUGCUACACACUUCCUUGUCAGAGAGACAAUAUAACAGCAUUUGUGAGGCGUGCCUAUAAAAGCUGUUUUGAAAUUCCCCUUGGUGACCAAGACAAGAAAUGGGCUCUGCAUAUUGUUUGUCACAAUUGUGAGGAAAUGCUUAGAGACUGGCCAAAAGGAAAACUGAAGAGUAUGCCUUUUGGGGUUCCCAUGGUUUGGCGAGAACCCAAGGAUCACACAAGUGACUGCUAUUUUUGUCUGGUCAAUAUGAAGUGUAUUGGCAAGAAAAACCGACAUGCUGCUGCCUAUCCCAGUAUUCCUUCAGCAAUUAGGCCUAUCCCACACUCUGAGGAACUCCCAAUUCCAGUUUUUAAGGGGUUUGUCUCUUCUGAAGAUGAAGGAAGUGAACAUGGUGAGGAAGAUCGUGAGGAUUUUGGGAGGGUGCAUUGAGAAAUGGCUAUAGAAUCCGAAGACAACUCAUUGAGCAGCAAUCAGCCCCACAGCUGUUUGGCCAACGGGAACUGAAUGACUUAGUGCGUGAUUUGGGCCUCUCCAAGAAGGCAGCUGAGUUAUUAGCAUCCAGGCUGCAAGAAAAACAUCUACUGCACCACUCGGCAAAAGUGACAUAUUUCUGAAAGAGGGACCAGGAGUUUGUGGGCUUCUUUUCAAAAGACAAGCACUUUGUUUACUGUCAUGAUAUUCCAGGCCUUCUCUGCCAAUUGGGCAUUACAUCAUACAAUUCAACGGAAUGGCGCUGAUUUCUUGAUAGCUCUAAGCGCAGUCUCAAGUGUGUUCUCUUGCACAACGGAACGUGUAUGGAGUGGUUCCCGUUGGUCACUCAUUGAUGAUGAUGUGGAGGUGAAAAUGAGUGAGGAAGAUGAGGGUGCAAGUAGGCUGAAUUUAAUAAGCCCCAAUGGACGCCUACAGACCUGGAAAUGCAUGGAAUCCAGCAGAAAAAGAAAUUGACAGUGUGUGAGUAAAAAGAGAAAAUUAAGGUACAGCACAUAGUUAUGGACUAUGCCCCACUGAAUUCAGUGGGAUUUUCUUCUGAUUAAACAUGCCCAGUCUUAAGUUGAAAGAGGAAAAAACAUGCUUGGGCAGGAUAUUAAGAGAAACACAAAUGUGAGGAGUGGGAGCAAGGUACAGGCACUUUACUUGAGGAAUAUGUAUCUACAGCAUCAGCUGCAACAUGCUAGCAGAAGCCUGUAUUGAGAGGGAAAGUAAUGUGUAAAUAUUACUUGUUGGAUUGUGAUAAUUACACCUUGAAAGUAAAUAGGGUGAACAUGCCUUGCUCCAUUGCAACCACCAGACCACAGACAGACUCUUGUUGAUGGUAUAUAGUUUCCAAUCUAUUGUUCCAGUAAGUUUUGCACACGGGUUUUAAAGUUAAAACAUGGAUGCAGAUUGGGAUUGAAAAUUAACACCUGCCACUGAAGUAUCAGUAGUUUAACAUGAUGUGGCUUAUUCUGCUCAACUUCUGUAUCAGAGGUAAUUUCAUGUAUAGGUAUAAAGAAACAUCUGUGCACAGCAUCUGUGUAUGUUCAAUUUAAAAAUAAAUCAAUUUCUUAACACCA